RNAcentral lists this ribosomal RNA (253 nucleotides) under uncultured bacterium. Its description in RNAcentral is "partial 16S ribosomal RNA". It matches the Rfam family "Bacterial small subunit ribosomal RNA", at positions 524 to 776 of the family's 1533-position model. The record is from RNAcentral.
UACGGGGGGGGCAAGCGUUGUUCGGAAUGACUGGGCGUAAAGGGCGCGUAGGCGGCUUUGUAAGUCGGGGGUGAAAGCCUGUGGCUCAACCACAGAAUUGCCUUCGAUACUGCAUGGCUUGAGACCGGAAGAGGUUAGUGGAACUGCGAGUGUAGAGGUGAAAUUCGUAGAUAUUCGCAAGAACACCAGUGGCGAAGGCGGCUGACUGGUCCGGUUCUGACGCUGAGGCGCGAAAGCGUGGGGAGCAAACAGG